This is a long non-coding RNA of Ictalurus punctatus (channel catfish), 490 nucleotides long. The record is from Ensembl. NCBI's taxonomy places the organism in Eukaryota, Metazoa, Chordata, Actinopteri, Siluriformes, Ictaluridae.
UAAAAUUUUAAAAAGAAUGAUACGAUCAGUUUUUUUUUUCAGUACCGGCUGUACCAAGUAUUCUCCUGCUUUCUGAUUGACUUUCUUUUCCAUGCUGAGGGAGGUGUUGACUAAAUUAGAGAUGGUGCUGGACCAACAAACCACUGAGCUUGCUUCAACUACAGGUGUUCCAGGUGCAGUCUUUGGAUACUGAUGAAGAUUUACUGCCCUGCAAGAUCUUCCUCAACUGCAUAGUCUGGAGCGAAGGAUGCAACAGAGCCCAGAUUACAAGCAAAAACUGGUGACACACUCGUACUCAAAGCACAACAUUCAACACCACUUUGAUAUGAGGGAACAGUUAUGACCUAAUCUUUGGUAGAGGAGCAAAACAUGGAAAACACACAGGGCAGGGUACCUGCAGGAGUAGUGAGAAGCACUGACACAGUUGACAAGGGCGGAUGUGCUCGACUGCACCUGGCGCAUACUGAAGAGGGUGAUUGCUAACUCCCUG